RNAcentral lists this long non-coding RNA (278 nucleotides) under Elaeis guineensis (African oil palm). RNAcentral describes it as "long non-coding RNA (EGUI_LNC026622)". Lineage: Eukaryota; Viridiplantae; Streptophyta; Magnoliopsida; Arecales; Arecaceae. The record is from RNAcentral.
UAUGAGCGAGAGCUACAGCGGUUCCUACCACCGUGCCCUCCUCUUCCCUUACGGCGAUGCCAGCAUUGGAAGCCUGUUUCAAGGGCGUUCAAACAAAGAAAAAGAAGAAAUCAAGACCACUGGAUCUCUAUUGACAGGCGGUUUCUCCUUAAUUGAUUACCGAUGGCUGGCAUUUGGGAGACAGCGGUGGCUAUCGAUUGGCCAAUUUUCAAACGAUCGCCAACCGAAUUUUGAGGUGGAAGAGGCACCGGCUUGGCCCUUUUUGUCGCCACCCAACU